RNAcentral lists this ribosomal RNA (397 nucleotides) under Phytopythium sindhum. RNAcentral's name for it is "partial small subunit ribosomal RNA". It matches the Rfam family "Eukaryotic small subunit ribosomal RNA", at positions 30 to 432 of the family's 1831-position model. Lineage: Eukaryota; Oomycota; Peronosporomycetes; Pythiales; Pythiaceae. The record is from RNAcentral.
GCUUGUCUCAAAGAUUAAGCCAUGCAUGUCUAAGUAUAAACGACUUUAUACUGUGAAACUGCGAAUGGCUCAUUAUAUCAGUUAUAGUUUAUUUGAUGGUCCUUGCUACUUGGAUAACCGUAGUAAUUCUAGAGCUAAUACAUGCAUCAAACCCCGACUUCUGGAAGGGGUGUAUUUAUUAGAUUGAAACCAAUGCAGUCUUCGGGCUGGUAUUGUGUUGAGUCAUAAUAACUGUGCGGAUCGCGUUUUACGCGAUAAAUCGAUUGAGUUUCUGCCCUAUCAGCUUUGGAUGGUAGGAUAUGGGCCUACCAUGGCAUUAACGGGUAACGGGGAAUUAGGGUUUGAUUCCGGAGAGGGAGCCUUAGAAACGGCUACCACAUCCAAGGAAGGCAGCAGG